RNAcentral lists this long non-coding RNA (222 nucleotides) under Trifolium pratense (red clover). Its description in RNAcentral is "long non-coding RNA (TPRA_LNC011685)". Lineage: Eukaryota; Viridiplantae; Streptophyta; Magnoliopsida; Fabales; Fabaceae. The record is from RNAcentral.
UGCAGAAUUUCUAAACACACCAGCACAAGAAGAAACACCAGAAUUACAUUUUGAGGCUCCAUCAAUAUGACAUUUAAUCCAAUUAGGUAAAGGAGGGUUCCAUAAGACUUCUUUAAUCACUAGAGCAUCGGGGUGAUGAAUUUCUACCUUGAAAUGUUUGAGAACUGUAAAAUCCUUGAUAGAGCUAGAAGAGGUCGCACUAGUGUUAAAAGUAUGUUGCAU